GGUGGCUUAGUGGUAAAGCGCUUGCCUUGCAUGCAUGAGGCCCUUGGUUUGAUUCCUCAGGACCA
This 65-nucleotide transfer RNA is filed under the name Dipodomys ordii (Ord's kangaroo rat). It matches the Rfam family "tRNA". Rfam says of the family: Transfer RNA (tRNA) molecules are approximately 80 nucleotides in length. Lineage: Eukaryota; Metazoa; Chordata; Mammalia; Rodentia; Heteromyidae. The record is from Rfam by way of RNAcentral.